CAGUUGGUGAGAGCAGAGGUGAGGUACCUGACCUUGAGAGGAGAUCUAUGCCGUCAGUAGAGCGCUGAGGUGACUGAGAAGAUGGCGGCGGACCCUCCUCCAGCAAUGGACAGUAAUGUGACUCGUCCCCCAUACAAGACAAGAUUGGGGAUGCGGUUGUAAUCAGAGUGACAGCGGCAGGAGCAGUUUCCAAUAGUGACGGGUGGAGCAGAGGUGAAAUUGCCAGCCCUCUGUGUGUAUUAUUAAAGGCAGGAGACGGGCCUAGAUUCCCCAAAUAGGGACAAUAAUGGGCAGCGGGGAGCGUUAUCUGCCUACUGGAGCAUGAAAGCCGGCGCAGGUCCUGCACAGACAGCUGUCUACAGCACAGCACUUCCAUUACUACUGCACAGGGCUUUCUGGAGUAGUCAUGGCAACAUACAACGGCUGCAAAUGAUUUCCUCUAAUAAUAGCAUGAAAAAUGAUGAUCAUUUCAUUGAGGUUAUCUAUAUCAGGUAACGCUAAAGAAAAAUUAAGUUGCUCUUUUAAAUUUACAGUAAUAAAGUGUUCGUCUCCUUUGAGAA
This is a long non-coding RNA of Pseudophryne corroboree (corroboree frog), 560 nucleotides long. RefSeq lists it as uncharacterized. The transcript is spliced from 2 exons. The record is from RefSeq and is a predicted model, not a curated record. NCBI's taxonomy places the organism in Eukaryota, Metazoa, Chordata, Amphibia, Anura, Myobatrachidae.